This 497-nucleotide ribosomal RNA is filed under the name uncultured bacterium. RNAcentral's name for it is "partial 16S ribosomal RNA". It matches the Rfam family "Bacterial small subunit ribosomal RNA", at positions 28 to 507 of the family's 1533-position model. The record is from RNAcentral.
GAUGAACGCUGGCGGCGUGCCUAAUACAUGCAAGUCGAGCGAACAGACGAGGAGCUUGCUCCUUCGACGUUAGCGGCGGACGGGUGAGUAACACGUAGGUAACCUACCUAUAAGACUGGGAUAACUUCGGGAAACCGGAGCUAAUACCGGAUAAUAUUUCGAACCGCAUGGUUCGAUAGUGAAAGAUGGCUUUGCUAUCACUUAUAGAUGGACCUGCGCCGUAUUAGCUAGUUGGUAAGGUAACGGCUUACCAAGGCAACGAUACGUAGCCGACCUGAGAGGGUGAUCGGCCACACUGGAACUGAGACACGGUCCAGACUCCUACGGGAGGCAGCAGUAGGGAAUCUUCCGCAAUGGGCGAAAGCCUGACGGAGCAACGCCGCGUGAGUGAUGAAGGUCUUCGGAUCGUAAAACUCUGCUAUUAGGGAAGAACAAACGUGUAAGUAACUGUGCACGUCUUGACGGUACCUAAUCAGAAAGCCACGGCUAACUACGUG